Molecule: ribosomal RNA, 253 nt
Filed under: uncultured bacterium
Lineage: Bacteria
Description: partial 16S ribosomal RNA
Rfam family: Bacterial small subunit ribosomal RNA
Source: RNAcentral
UACAGAGGGUGCGAGCGUUAAUCGGAAUUACUGGGCGUAAAGCGCACGUAGGCGGCUUGGUAUGUCGGGUGUGAAAUCCCCGGGCUCAACCUGGGAACUGCAUCCGAAACUGCCUUGCUCGAGUAUGGGAGAGGGAAGUGGAAUUUACGGUGUAGCAGUGAAAUGCGUAGAUAUCGUAAGGAAGACCAGUGGCGAAAGCGAAUCUCUGGGCAGCAGCCGACGCUGAGGCACGAAGGCCAGGGGAGCAAACGGG